RNAcentral lists this ribosomal RNA (883 nucleotides) under Amphibalanus zhujiangensis. Its description in RNAcentral is "SSU rRNA". It matches the Rfam family "Eukaryotic small subunit ribosomal RNA", at positions 454 to 1295 of the family's 1831-position model. Lineage: Eukaryota; Metazoa; Arthropoda; Thecostraca; Balanomorpha; Balanidae. The record is from RNAcentral.
GUUCAGGGAGGUAGUGACAAUAAAUACCUUACAGAGGUCUCGUUAACCGAGAUCUCUCAAACGGAAUGAGUACAACGUGAAUCCUUUAACGAGGAUCGACUGGAGGGCAAGCCUGGUGCCAGCAGCCGCGGUAAUUCCAGCUCCAGUAGCGUAUAUUAAAGCUGUUGCGGUUAAAAAGCUCGUAGUUGGAUAUCAGUGCGUGUCCGGUCCGGUAUGCCCGGCGGUGGCGUUCGCGCGUCGCUGCUGGGCUCCCAAAUAUCGGCUGGCCGCAUUCAAUCGUGCCGGAUCCGUCGGCGGGCCGUUCUUCGUAGGGGCCUGUUGGCGGCCGGCGAGGUUACCUUGAACAAAUUAGAGUGCUCAAAGCAGGCUCUGAAUGCCUGUAUACAUAUUCAUGGAAUUGGAGAAUACGUCCCUGGCUCGAUUUGGUUGGUUUUGCGAGUCGAAGGGAAAUGAUUAAUAGGGACUGACGGAGGCAUUCGUAUUGCGACGCGAGGGGUGAAAUCCUGUGACCGUCGCACGACGAACUACUGCGAAAGCAUUUGCCGAGAAUGUUUUCAUUAGUCAAGAACGAAAGUUAGAGGUUCGAAGGCGAUCAGAUACCGCCCUAGUUCUAACCGUAAACGAUGUCGACCAGCAAUCCGCAACGGUCACUACACGGACUGUGCGGGCAGCUUCCCCGGGGAAACCAGAGUUUUUGGACUCCGGGGGAAGUAUGGUUGCAAAGCUGAAACUUAAAGGAAUUGACGGAAGGGCACCACCAGGAGUGGAGCUUGCGGCUUAAUUUGACUCAACACGGGACAACUCACCAGGCCCGGACACCGUAAGGAUUGACAGACUGAUAGCUCUCUCUUGAUUCAGUGGGUGGUGGUGCAUGGCCGUUCUU